This 462-nucleotide ribosomal RNA is filed under the name uncultured bacterium. RNAcentral describes it as "partial 16S ribosomal RNA". It matches the Rfam family "Bacterial small subunit ribosomal RNA", at positions 29 to 507 of the family's 1533-position model. The record is from RNAcentral.
AGUGAACGCUGGCGGCGUGCCUAAUACAUGCAAGUCGAACGGAGAUUAAGUAGCUUGCUAUUUAAUCUUAGUGGCGCGCGGGUGAGUAAUAUAUAGCUAACUUGCCCAUUACUAAGGGACAACAGUUGGAAACGACUGCUAAUACCUUAUACUCCGUAUCUAUAUAAGUAGAUACGGGAAAGUUUUUCGGUAAUGGAUAGGGCUAUAUCGUAUCAGCUAGUUGGUAAGGUAAUGGCUUACCAAGGCUAUGACGCGUAACUGGUCUGAGAGGAUGAUCAGUCACACUGGAACUGAGACACGGUCCAGACUCCUACGGGAGGCAGCAGUAGGGAAUAUUGCUCAAUGGGGGAAACCCUGAAGCAGCAACGCCGCGUGGAGGAUGACACUUUUCGGAGCGUAAACUCCUUUUCUUGGGAAAGAAUUAUGACGGUACCCAAGGAAUAAGCACCGGCUAACUCCGUG